Molecule: long non-coding RNA, 689 nt
Organism: Leptinotarsa decemlineata (Colorado potato beetle)
Lineage: Eukaryota; Metazoa; Arthropoda; Insecta; Coleoptera; Chrysomelidae
Source: RefSeq, a predicted model, not a curated record
GCAAAAUUAUUUUCUCCUAGAAUUAAAAUCAAUUUGAUAGAAAAGUUAGUACAUAUUAUACAAUCAUAUGGAAUAAUAAUAAUUGAAUGAAGUUAUAACAAAACUAAUCUGUACAAGCCAAUUCCCAUCAAUAAAUUCAGUACGUGGAGAAUUUCCAUCACAGCAGAGAAGGAUUCGGUGAAUAUGAAAAUUCAACUGCACAACAAAACACUGAAGGGAAAUAAGGUUUCACUGGUAGUUUUAGUCAUGGCAUGUGAAUCAGUAGAACAAAGUGGUAAAAGGAUCAUCAAGACAUGCUACAAUCUCCAUGAAAGUGUAGAAAAUACUUUAGUCCGGCAACAUCUUGAACUUCUAGUGCAAUAUGCCGAACAAUGGAAACCACGGUUUUCAGCAGGAGGAUUUUAUGAUAUAAACCAAUCCUGUCUAUCUUCAAUUUUUUCAGCUAUCAUUACAUAUUUGGUUAUAAUCAUACAAUUCAAUAUGGUCCUGACUGAUGAGAAAGUAGAGCCACCCACAGAGAAAAAUAUAACAGUGCAAACUUUUUAACCUCGGUGUUAUAAAUUUCAAUAACUCAUGGUUCUAGAGUUUCUCAAAGUUGCACAUGAAUUGUUAGUUUUAGAGUUGUGAAAACUUUGUAUUGAAAUAACACUCACCACAGAUUUUAUCUUGAAAAUAAAAGCUGUUUUUGA